UGAACGCUGGCGGCAGGCCUAACACAUGCAAGUCGAGCGGAUGAGAAGAGCUUGCUCUUCGAUUCAGCGGCGGACGGGUGAGUAAUGCCUAGGAAUCUGCCUGGUAGUGGGGGACAACGUUUCGAAAGGAACGCUAAUACCGCAUACGUCCUACGGGAGAAAGCAGGGGACCUUCGGGCCUUGCGCUAUCAGAUGAGCCUAGGUCGGAUUAGCUAGUUGGUGAGGUAAUGGCUCACCAAGGCGACGAUCCGUAACUGGUCUGAGAGGAUGAUCAGUCACACUGGAACUGAGACACGGUCCAGACUCCUACGGGAGGCAGCAGUGGGGAAUAUUGGACAAUGGGCGAAAGCCUGAUCCAGCCAUGCCGCGUGUGUGAAGAAGGUCUUCGGAUUGUAAAGCACUUUAAGUUGGGAGGAAGGGCAGUAAGUUAAUACCUUGCUGUUUUGACGUUACCGACAGAAUAAGCACCGGCUAACUCUGUGCCAGCAGCCGCGGUAAUACAGAGGGUGCAAGCGUUAAUCGGAAUUACUGGGCGUAAAGCGCGCGUAGGUGGUUCGUUAAGUUGGAUGUGAAAGCCCCGGGCUCAACCUGGGAACUGCAUCCAAAACUGGCGAGCUAGAGUAUGGUAGAGGGUGGUGGAAUUUCCUGUGUAGCGGUGAAAUGCGUAGAUAUAGGAAGGAACACCAGUGGCGAAGGCGACCACCUGGACUGAUACUGACACUGAGGUGCGAAAGCGUG
RNAcentral lists this ribosomal RNA (738 nucleotides) under uncultured Pseudomonadota bacterium. RNAcentral describes it as "bacterial SSU rRNA". It matches the Rfam family "Bacterial small subunit ribosomal RNA", at positions 30 to 763 of the family's 1533-position model. The record is from RNAcentral. Lineage: Bacteria; Pseudomonadati; Pseudomonadota.